Molecule: long non-coding RNA, 4714 nt
Organism: Callithrix jacchus (white-tufted-ear marmoset)
Lineage: Eukaryota; Metazoa; Chordata; Mammalia; Primates; Cebidae
Source: Ensembl
GAUAAAUCAUGUCACUGUUGCAAAAUGUGUUUUCUUACAAAGAGAUUAUGUAUUUGUCCCAGAGAACAACCAAGAAACACACUGAUUUUAAUAGGCUCCUUUUCUAUCAAACAGAUCCAGCUUAGUGACUCAGGAAAACACCGAGGAAGAAAAGUCUCUUGAUCAGUCCCUGGAAUCUAUUGAGGUAAAGUCACAUUCUCUAGCUUUAGGUCUUUUUUUACAGUCUCUUAGGAGCUUCCCUUAUUAUUCUUUUCAUACCAGCCUUUUCCUUUUUAUAUUAGGUUGCUAUAGAUAUAGGGUACAGCCAUGCUCUGGGUCCCUUGAAGGGACUUCCAUUCUUCUGAAGAAAAAAUGCUUUCGUUAAUAGGGCAGGCCUGGAUCCCAGUAGCUCCUGUGUACAGAUAUUAAGAGGAGCGUCUCUGCCAAUGUACUUAGGCAGAACAAUAAAGCAUCUUUACAGCCCAGACUCACCAGAGCCACUAUUGAUUCACUGGCAUGUGUUCUCUCAAUAGUAAAAGGCUGCCAGGAUUUACUCGCUCAGCUUUUCUCUCUCCUAGGCCGUCAUUAUUCAGUGUAAAACUCCUUUAACCUGGUGGAGUUGUUGCUCUUGCUAAUACUGUGUUAGCAAAUUAUUGAUCCCAAUGAUGAGAACAGGAAUCGUUUCUCCUGUAGCAGGAUGUGCAAUUGGAUCUACAUUCUGCCUUGGUCACUUUACUGGGUGGUUACUAAUCCAAUUAUAUGUGACUAGGAUUUACAGCAUCUUCUGUGGACCCAGUCCUGUAAUAGAUUCUGAAGAUCUUAAAAAAAAAAGAAAAUUGAGCUUGAUGUUCUACUCUGAGGCUUUCAGAAUGAUCUUUAAAAUUUUUUAUUGAAAAGGAAAUAAAGUUUUGAAUAGAAACAGACUUGAAGAAAAUCACAUCUGAAUUAGAGUGACUGAUUUUUUUCUUCCUUCCCCUAGAACAACAUUGAGAAUUGAAAGUUCUCACUGUUCAUUAUGUUGGUCAGAAAGUGAACUUUGGAUGCAAAACACUGUGUGAUUAAACUGAGACUUUAAAAGAGCACUCUAAAUGAAUUGUGUGGUGCCCAUUCUCUACAGAAGUAUUCGAAGAAUGUUGACAUCUCAGAUGGCACAUUAUUUUCUAUUUUCUUUCUGAGAUGUACUGACGGAUAACAGAAGCUAAUUGUUUAUUUGUUUAAUAUGGGUUGCUGACUUGAGUAUGUUUUUUAGAGCAAGAAAGUAAAUUUAUAUCUCCAAGGUCUCAAUUGAAUUUCAUAUCAGGAAGAAGUGCUUAGCAAACUGUUGACCUUACAGUGCUCAUUAGGUAAGGAAAACAAUUAAGGCAGAAAACUUCACUUUACAUUAUACAGUAUAUAACAGAUAUGUAAAAUAUUUUAUGUAAGUGAUCUUCCAUGCCAGAUUAUGAAUUCCAAAGAGACAUUUACUAUUCUGAAAUAAAAUGUAAGUGCUACUUUAUUAAGCAAUAGUAUACAAAAUUUGAUAUCUCAAUUUUAGCACAUGUUAAAGUUAGGAGGAUAAAUGUCUAUCUCCUUUUAAGAUGAUAAAUGCUUCGAAUCAGCAAUCUUGACUUUUCAUGUCUGUACGCUACCAUAGCAGUGAUUAUUGUGGUUUACCCAGUGCUUGCUGUCGUGGGAUGGGACUUUUCACUGAUAUUUGUUAUAAUUCAGGUUCCACAUAAUAUUCAGUUGACAUCAUUGGAUCAUUUGGCUUUAUUUUUUCAUCUUUCUCACUCUGGACACUAAAUGGAAAACUAGAACUGGGAAGGAAAGGGUGAUGGGAAAUUUAGAGAAAAACAAGAGAAAGGUGGGAAAAAAUUAGCCUAUAUUUCUGUGUUUUAAAAUAAUGUCAUCAUAUCAUUUACUAUUUAUAUUAUUAAUGUAUUAAUAACUAGGAUUUACAGAGUGCUUUCUUUGGAUCCAGCUCAAUAGUAGAUCCUGAAAGAUAUAUAAAUAAAAUCAAGUUCAGUUGUUCAUCCUGAGGAAUUAAUGACAGCUUUCCAUUUGAACUGGACUCAUAAAAAGGAUAAUUCUGUCUGGAUCUUGGUAGAAAAGUUAAAAAGCUAUUAUUUAGAGUUGACAACAUAUAUGUAAAUAGAGAUGAAAACGAGAUUGGCCUUGUUAUCUACUUUAAUAAAAUGCCCCAAAUGCAUCCCAAUAUACAUCAACAGUUUCUGCAUUAGCCAUAGCAUAUUCUUAUCAUUUCUUAUAUCUCAUAUUUAAAUAUUCUAAUCAGUGAAAUGAGAUUUUUUCCUAUAUUCCAAAAAAUAUAAUGCUCGUAUUCUUUUGGCUUGAAACUAUAAAUUUUAGAAAAUUACAAAACCUGAAACAUCUAAAAGUAGUCUUUCAUGAAUGUCAGUAAAAAUGGAAAAAGUGGUUUGGAUGUGAUGUCUUUGCUACUGAAAAGACCAUUAAUGUACAAAUCAAAGUAACAUAUACUUUAUGAAUAAUAAAUAAGCAAUCAUGGGGCACCAAAUUCGAUCUUAAAAAUAAAGGCAUGGAUGCAAAUAACGUAAUUGAAAAUCUUACAAUCUAUUUAUGUGCAUUAAUGAAAAGGAACGAAUACUCCUUCUGCCCUAUCCCUCCCCAUCCUUUUAAGUGGAGGCAAUGAAUACAUCAAUUGUGAGGCUUAACAACUGGGGUUUAGUAAAGCAUGCUUGAUUAAUUUUUACUGAGAUUUCCAAAAUAAAUGAGAAAGAACUCACCCUAUUCAUUAUAUCAGCGAAGGGAAAGGGAUCUUGAUGGUAUUUGACUGCAUCCAACUGAUCAAAUGACAUUCUAGCUAACCUCAGAAAUGGGUUUCUGGCAGAGAAGAAAUUUUCUUUCUGAAGAUGAGGAGCAUUGAAGUAUCUCAGAAUUGCUGCAGCCCAGCCUCUUUACAAUAGUAGAAAAAUAUAAAUGAAGACCACAGCAGCAGUCAAAAGAGCAACGACAACAGCAAAAACAGCCUGUAGGAGAUGUCAAGGCACAGAACCUACAUUUGGAAAAAUCAGAAGUUGCAAACAGAAAACUAUCCACAAAAUAAUGUUCCCUUUAGGUUAAUUUUAACUGCAUGUAGUCAUGUUUUCUGAGUAGAAUGAAAUAUUGAGAUUAUUUUUGUUUUAUAUCAGGUUUAUCUCUACAGUAUGAUACUAAUAAAUCAGGCAGUAUACUCUUCAAUGGCUUUGAUUCAUCUUUGAUUUUUCUGUGGUUUAUAUCACUAGUUCAGUAUAGUUAUUUCUAUACAAUAAUAGAACUCAGUUUUAAAACUCAUAAUUGCAAGAUGGCAUUCUGAUAGUAUAUAUAGCUAACUGUUUAGCUAUAUAAAGCAGAAAGAAAGGGAACAUAAAGGGUCCAAGUUUCAAUAACUCCCUGUCUUCAAUUUUAUGAAUAAUUUUUAAAGCCUCUAAAAAAGGAACACACCGAUUUUUUUCUUUCCUUUAAUAACUCUCAAAUGGAGAUAUUUCUAUAUGUUCUGAGCUUUCCCAAAUGCUAGAAAUGAUGGGCAAUAUGCAGAGAUAUAAAUGUUGAAUGUAUGGCAAUUGUCCUCACAGGGGUUUCAAAAAAGCUAAAUUGGAAGAAAAGGAAAGUACCUAUAUUUACAAUAAAAGCAAAGAAUACAAUAGAGUAUAACAAUAAAGCUUAAUUAUUUUACAUGGAUUAUAAAUGUUUUAUGAUGUUCAGGGUAGUUGAAAUUACUAUGGAAUAGAAAAUGUUUACAUAAGCAAUAGAGGUCAAAGAGAUAAUAUUAUUUGUGAGGUAGCAAUUAUUAGGACUUGUUUUUAUGACCUUGCUCAUCAAAACAGGAUGAAGCAAAAACAUCAGCCAAGACAAGCCAGGACUAUAAAAUAUAAUAUAUUUGCAUAAGACGCUCCCACCAGCACCAUGAUAGUUUACAAAUGAUGCCACAGCAAUUACCUAGAAGAUACCUUAUAUGGUUCUGGGAACUCCUCAACCGUUUUCCAGAAAGUUCAUGAAUAACACACUCCUGUUUGGCAUAUAAUUAAGAGUGAGUAUAAAUACAGCUAACCAGCAAUUCAUAAAUGCUACUCUGGGCCACUAUGCCUAUGAGAUAGUCUUGCUUUGUCUAUGGAGCAACCAUUUUGCUGCACUGUUACUCUAAUAAACUUGUUUUCUUUCACCAUCAGCUCACUCUUGAAUUCUUUUCUGGAUGAAGCCGAAAACUCUCUUGACCUGAGCCCAAUCUGGGGCUUCACCAGCAUCAUUUACAAGUCUUCUUAGAAUUCCUCCUAAUUCAUUAGUGUGGAAAUAUAAGUGAAAAACAUAUUAAAGGGGAAAACUGAGAUAUAUUUCUUCUGAAUUCUAUGUGUUUUAAUAUUAAUAGAGAAUGUUAGAGUACCAAAUUUUAGAUUAUUUUAUACCUCUUUUUAUAUCUCAAGUGCCACUUGUUUUAAUUCGUUCUUCAUACUCUUGAUCAAGGUUCUAUCACAACUAGGAACUCAUAGACUACACCUGAUCAUUAGUAGCUUCCAAGUCAUUAACUUAGGUUGGCUUCCACAUGAAACAGAGUUGGAGAUAGAAAUUUUCAUAUAAAAGGUUUGUUGAAAAGUACUCUCUGGGGACUUUUCCAUUAUGCAAGUGAUAGAGGCAAGAUUAGGCAGAAGGUAAAAUUUAGCAGUGAUACCUUUGCAACAGAGGCUUGACCAAUCCCACAAAAGCUCUGUAGUCGUAUGGCACUUCAGAAAUGUCCAAACUUGGG